RNAcentral lists this ribosomal RNA (168 nucleotides) under Triticum aestivum (bread wheat). Its description in RNAcentral is "partial small subunit ribosomal RNA". The record is from RNAcentral. Lineage: Eukaryota; Viridiplantae; Streptophyta; Magnoliopsida; Poales; Poaceae.
GGAUAUAUAUGGCCCUAUCGUCUAGUGAUGCCCCUAUCAUCUAGUGGUUCAGGACAUCUCUCUUUCAAGGAGGCAGCGGGGAUUCGACUUCCCCCUUUCUAUCAUCCCUCCCUUUAUCCACAUCCCUUUAGUUUUGCUUCACAACCUAGAAUCCCUUUUCUUUUCUAG